This is a long non-coding RNA of Neopsephotus bourkii (Bourke's parrot), 705 nucleotides long. RefSeq lists it as uncharacterized. The transcript has 2 exons. Lineage: Eukaryota; Metazoa; Chordata; Aves; Psittaciformes; Psittacidae. The record is from RefSeq and is a predicted model, not a curated record.
CUUUACAUUGGGCUUAACAUAAAUCUUAAUAAACAAUACCCUAGUCUAUAGUUUAUCACAGUGGGUGUACAAACAAUGCUUUAUUGAUUCAUGCAUUUGGGGUCUCCCCUAUCAUUCCCCCUUUUUGUUUUACUAGAAGUGGGUUUUUUAACAAUUUGGUGUGCCCACUCUAUCACUGCUUGACCUGUGUAAUUAACAUAACCACCCACUACUCCAGGCAGCAUUAUUUCAGUAAGAUUAGUCUGAUUUGAAGUCACUUGAACCUUUAUAACAUGUGGCAUACCAGUGAAUCCUACACACCAUUUAACAGGUCGGAAUGGGGGAUUUAACAAAUGUGCCCAGUAUACUUGUCCAUUACCCAUGGUCACACAUAAUAGAACAGAUAUUACAAAGAUUUCUGUCAUUGUCAUUUCUUUUUGUUGUUGAGUUCUGGAGCUUUACACAUUUUGCUGGCAGCCAGUAUGGUUCUGUCGAUAGCUGUAUCCUUGACCCCAUGUCAGCAAUGGCACUGGUCCUUCCCACUCAUUAUCAUGUAGGUCUUUAUAUAGAACCACUGGUUUGGGCAAGGAAUUGUCUGUCAGAUGUCACAAUCGCUGUAUUGUGGAAAGAGAAUCUAAAUUAGACAAAUUUAAAGAAUUUAGUACAAAUUGUGCUUUUGCUAACUGUCCGUGUGGAGAAAAUCCUUGCAUCCUUUUUUUUGUUGUU